This is a non-coding RNA of Cladorrhinum samala, 135 nucleotides long. Lineage: Eukaryota; Fungi; Ascomycota; Sordariomycetes; Sordariales; Podosporaceae. The record is from the annotation of a GenBank genome assembly.
GCCCGGCUAGCGCAAUGGUAGCGCGUAAGACUUCUAAAGUUUCUUUGAUUCAUGAAAAAAAUGAAAAAAUAUAUGAAGAGAAGGGUUUAGUAAAAAGUAAUCUUAAGGCUGCGGGUUCGAAUCCCGCGUCGGGUU